RNAcentral lists this ribosomal RNA (446 nucleotides) under uncultured bacterium. RNAcentral's name for it is "partial 16S ribosomal RNA". It matches the Rfam family "Bacterial small subunit ribosomal RNA", at positions 338 to 795 of the family's 1533-position model. The record is from RNAcentral.
CCUACGGAGUGCAGCAGUCGAGAAUCAUUCACAAUGGGGGAAACCCUGAUGGUGCGACGCCGCGUGGGGGAAUGAAGGUCUUCGGAUUGUAAACCCCUGUCAUGUGGGAGCAAAUUAAAAAGAUAGUACCACAAGAGGAAGAGACGGCUAACUCUGUGCCAGCAGCCGCGGUAAUACAGAGGUCUCAAGCGUUGUUCGGAAUCACUGGGCGUAAAGCGUGCGUAGGCUGUUUCGUAAGUCGUGUGUGAAAGGCGCGGGCUCAACCCGCGGACGGCCCAUGAUACUGCGAGACUAGAGUAACGGAGGGGGAACCGGAAUUCUCGGUGUAGCAGUGAAAUGCGUAGAUAUCGAGAGGAACACUCGUGGCGAAGGCGGGUUCCUGGACAUUAACUGACGCUGAGGCACGAAGGCCAGGGGAGCGAAAGGGAUUAGAUACCCCGGUAGUC